GACAGGUCCGAGACUUGUGGGUUUAGUUACGUGAGGCCCUACUGUAUUACACUUCAGGGUUAUUUUGAGAUGGUCACGAGAGAGCACUUGAACCCUGAACAAAGAACCUCUCUUGCCUUAUCCUAUUACAGAUGACAGUGAAGUGUUUUAAGUGCCCGGAGUCUGAUGCAACUGCAAAACCCCAACCAAAAGGUUGCCAAACAUCCUUGUUAUGGGACUCAAGAAAAAGCCACGUAAAAGGAAAGAAAGCUUUCCUUUCCUCUCUGGCCUGUCAAAGGGCAUUCUCCCCGCACCCAGACUCCUAAAGAGGAAGGAUUCUUGCUUAUGGAAGGAAAGCUAGGCAAAGAUCAAGGAGAAGACUGUUUCUGGAAGAGGCAGAGGGAACAGACAACGCGAAGUCCCUAAAUGGGAACAAGUUUGAGUUAUUGGAGGAAGUCGGUGUGAGUGGAGUUUAGGGGAAGGCAGGGAGUUACAAAAUGAGGUUGGAGUGAUGGGCAGAGGUUAGAUCCUGCAGCACUCUGAAGUUCAGGAAAGAUUUCAGAGUCUAUUCUAAGUGUAGGGGAAAAUAAAUGACUUAAAACCUUCCAUUGGAAGGUUUUAAGAAGAGGAGUAGUGUUAUGAACCAAAUGUGUAUGUCUCCCCAAAAUUCAUAUGUUGAAAUCCUAACCUCCAAUGUGAUGGUGUUAGGAGGUGGGUCUUUCAGGGGUGAUUAGGUCAUGAGGGUAGAGCCUCAUGAAUGGGAUUAGUGCCCUUAUGACAAGAGACAGGAGAGCUUGCCGUCCUUCCGCACUCCAGCAUGUGAAGAUUCAAGAAGAUGGCCAUCUGUAAAACCAGGAAGUGGAUCCUCACCAAAUACUGGAUUGGCCAAGCACCUUGAUCUUGAACUUCUCAGCCUUCAGAACUGUACACAGUGUCUGUGUGUUCCCUGCUCUUGGAUCUCUGACUUGAGUGAAUCUGCUCCAACUGCCUCAGCCAGCCCUGGCCUUGGUCUUUCUGGCAAGACAUCCUAGAAGACUGUAUUUUGCUAAGACUGCAACUGCCAGCCACAAGCUUGAUGAGCAGCCUAGGGAAUGUGGAAAGAAGUCAUAAAGAGAAGAGAUGUAGCUAUUUCUUUGGCUAUAUCCCAAAGAGAGUAUAAUUCAUUUAAUCCUCCCCAUAAUGAUUCCACUGAUUUUCAAGGUCCCCAAAUAUCUGUCCACAUACCAGUUUCUCAACGGACCGCCAACACGGAGGAUUCUUUUUCUCAACAGUUUAUACCUCCAACCUCAAGGUAACUAAUGGUAACAGUUGAUGUGUAUCCUUCCAC
This 1306-nucleotide long non-coding RNA is filed under the name Homo sapiens (human). Its description in RNAcentral is "HSALNT0193973". The record is from RNAcentral. Lineage: Eukaryota; Metazoa; Chordata; Mammalia; Primates; Hominidae.